Molecule: ribosomal RNA, 403 nt
Filed under: uncultured bacterium
Lineage: Bacteria
Description: bacterial SSU rRNA
Rfam family: Bacterial small subunit ribosomal RNA
Source: RNAcentral
CAAGGAAUUUUCGGCAAUGGGCGCAAGCCUGACCGAGCAACGUCGCGUGGAGGAUGACGGCUUUCGGGUUGUAAACUCCUUUUGGGGGGGAUGAUGAUGACAGUACCCCCCGAAUAAGCCCCGGCUAACUCCGUGCCAGCAGCCGCGGUAAUACGGAGGGGGCAAGCGUUGUCCGGACUUACUGGGCGUAAAGGGUGCGUAGGCGGUUGCAUGCGUCGGCGCUGAAAUCCAGAGGCUCAACCUCUGGGCGCGUGCCGAUACGAUGCGACUUGAGGCUCGGAGAGGGUGGUAGAACUCCUGGUGUAGUGGUGAAAUGCGUAGAGAUCAGGAAGAAUACCCGUGGCGCAAGCGACCACCUGGCCGAGACCUGACGCUAAGGCACGAAAGCGUGGGGAGCGAACCG